Mirounga angustirostris (Northern elephant seal) is the source of this 113-nucleotide small nucleolar RNA. RefSeq annotates it as small nucleolar RNA SNORA5. The record is from RefSeq and is a predicted model, not a curated record. NCBI's taxonomy places the organism in Eukaryota, Metazoa, Chordata, Mammalia, Carnivora, Phocidae. The transcript has a single exon.
CGCAGCUGUGUCGAAUUCGGUGCCCGCCCACCCCGUGGCUCGCACCGGCCUGAAAGGCUGCCACAGAAAUGCUGUGACCCAUGGGAAAAAAAAAAAAAUGUGAAUCUAUAUUA